CAGGCUUAACACAUGCAAGUCGAGGGGCAGCGGGGGUAGCUAUACCCGCCGGCGACCGGCGCACGGGUGAGUAACGCGUAUGCAACUUACCUAUCAGAGGGGGAUAACCCGGCGAAAGUCGGACUAAUACCGCAUGAAGCAGGGAUCCCGCAUGGGAAUAUUUGCUAAAGAUUCAUCGCUGAUAGAUAGGCAUGCGUUCCAUUAGGCAGUUGGCGGGGUAACGGCCCACCAAACCGACGAUGGAUAGGGGUUCUGAGAGGAAGGUCCCCCACAUUGGUACUGAGACACGGACCAAACUCCUACGGGAGGCAGCAGUGAGGAAUAUUGGUCAAUGGCCGAGAGGCUGAACCAGCCAAGUCGCGUGAGGGAUGAAGGUUCUAUGGAUCGUAAACCUCUUUUAUAAGGGAAUAAAGUGCGGGACGUGUCCCGUUUUGUAUGUACCUUAUGAAUAAGGAUCGGCUAACUCCGUGCCAGCAGCCGCGGUAAUACGGAGGAUCCGAGCGUUAUCCGGAUUUAUUGGGUUUAAAGGGUGCGUAGGCGGCCUUUUAAGUCAGCGGUGAAAGUCUGUGGCUCAACCAUAGAAUUGCCGUUGAAACUGGGGGGCUUGAGUAUGUUUGAGGCAGGCGGAAUGCGUGGUGUAGCGGUGAAAUGCAUAGAUAUCACGCAGAACCCCGAUUGCGAAGGCAGCCUGCCAAGCCAUGACUGACGCUGAUGCACGAAAGCGUGGGGAUCAAACAGGAUUAGAUACCCUGGUAGUCCACGCAGUAAACGAUGAUCACUAGCUGUUUGCGAUACACUGUAAGCGGCACAGCGAAAGCGUUAAGUGAUCCACCUGGGGAGUACGCCGGCAACGGUGAAACUCAAAGGAAUUGACGGGGGCCCGCACAAGCGGAGGAACAUGUGGUUUAAUUCGAUGAUACGCGAGGAACCUUACCCGGGUUUGAACGCAUUCGGACCGAGGUGGAAACACCUUUUCUAGCAAUAGCCGUUUGCGAGGUGCUGCAUGGUUGUCGUCAGCUCGUGCCGUGAGGUGUCGGCUUAAGUGCCAUAACGAGCGCAACCCUUGCCACUAGUUACUAACAGGUAAAGCUGAGGACUCUGGUGGGACUGCCAGCGUAAGCUGCGAGGAAGGCGGGGAUGACGUCAAAUCAGCACGGCCCUUACAUCCGGGGCGACACACGUGUUACAAUGGCGUGGACAAAGGGAAGCCACCUGGCGACAGGGAGCGAAUCCCCAAACCACGUCUCAGUUCGGAUCGGAGUCUGCAACCCGACUCCGUGAAGCUGGAUUCGCUAGUAAUCGCGCAUCAGCCAUGGCGCGGUGAAUACGUUCCCGGGCCUUGUACACACCGCCCGUCAAGCCAUGGGAGCCGGGGGUACCUGAAGUCCGUAGGC
This 1394-nucleotide ribosomal RNA is filed under the name uncultured organism. RNAcentral's name for it is "16S ribosomal RNA". It matches the Rfam family "Bacterial small subunit ribosomal RNA". The record is from RNAcentral.